Molecule: long non-coding RNA, 2284 nt
Organism: Helianthus annuus (common sunflower)
Lineage: Eukaryota; Viridiplantae; Streptophyta; Magnoliopsida; Asterales; Asteraceae
Exons: 21
Source: RefSeq, a predicted model, not a curated record
UCUACCAUACGCUUUCCUUUCCUGAAACCUGAACUAUCAUACGCUUCUUCUUCUUCUUCUUCUACCUGCAUCUCAUUCUCUCUGAAUCGCUUGUGCUUGAACGGAUUAACAAAGGAUUCCAAAAUCAAGGUUAUUCACUUCCAGAUUCAUCCAGAUAAGACCCAGUGCCUGUGCGCUUUUCAACCUCAGAACCUGGCAAACAUGCAGCCAAGCUAGAGAAAAGAACAAUUUAGUUAACCAUAGAAAGUUAUGAGAGGGGUGACCCAAUUGAAUUCGAGCUUGGUACUGGCUAGGUGAUAAAUGUAUGUAGUGAUUUUGACUAAUCUAACCCUGGUGGAUUCAACACUUUGACACCUUUAAGAAGGUCGCCAAGCAACAAAGAAGGGGCAAGAAUAUGUUAGAGAUAUGUGGUAACAUUGUAAGUUUCUUUCGCAUGGGAUUAUCUGGAAUUUAUUUUUUUAUAUUGGUAAAACGAAAAUCAUCGAUGUCAUGUGUCUACAUUUGCGAGGCGAUGGUGGUUAGGGUUCUCGUGGUGAUUCCGGUAAGAAGGAUCUUCCGGUAUGAUUUUUGAAUGAGCAAUUACGAGACGAUUCUCCAAUAUAGGGGCUGCAGAGACCGCUAGCGGCGGAAUUUGUGAGCGUUUCGCGUGAAAGCAAGAUUUCUUUCAUCCAGAUUGAGUUUGGAUGAGUUUUAUUUGGCUAGCAUUUUGUCGAACACCUUCCAUAGAAUUGGUGGGAUUUUAUGAGGUUUGAGACACCAAACAACAGACAACACGAUUGUAUGUUCGUCUACGGCUCUAUGGAUUAUAGCGAGGUUUAAGAUCCCUUGAUGGUGGAUCCUGGCCAGAUCUGUGGGUAUGAAGGGAAGUGGCAGAUGUCCACUGACUGUUGGCGGGGGUGGUGGUAGAUGGUAAUAGAAAACAACAACCUGGACAAAUGUAGUGAGUGUUCCAACGUAUUUUGGUUUCUUGAUUAUGAAUGAUUUCUGAGUGUUAAAGAAGUUAUGAGAGGGGUGACCCAAUUGACUUCGAGCUUGGUACUGACUAGGUGAUAAAUGAAAUCUGUUGGAUAGACAUAUAAAUCAGCCAGACCUCGGGGAUUGAACGUGUUGGGUGAGUAAAUCAACAUGUUUUAGUAAUCAACCCAACUUAAGAAGCCAACGGAAAAAAGGAUGCUGGGACAUGAUAGAGAAUAGAGAUCAGGCAAAAUUUUACAGACAAGUUUAAUAUGGAUUUGCUUAUGGAAAUUUCAUACGCAGAGGUGAUAGAACAUCCGUGGUUUUUCUAAUUAAUUGAUAGGAGCUAGGUGUGAGCAUCACCCUUUCAACCCCCUGAUUUUAACGAGAAUUCACAAGUUGGGGAGUUGUUCAAAGGCAUUUGUCGUCUUUUAUACGAGGUCUGUGCUUCCCAACAACUUCAAGGUGGUGCUUGCUUCGUACAUCAAGAUCGUAGAAAAUGAUCUUUUCAAAAAGGAUUGGAGGUCAAGGAAGAAGGUGCAGAUAUUUGAAUAUGUCGUCUUAAAGUGGACAUUAGUGCUUCUUAUAGGAUUAGCUACUUGGCCCGCGGGGUUUUUCAAUAACAUUGCAGUGGAAAACAUUAAGACGGGCCCCGGUUGUUCUAUAGAGCUGAUGAAGUUUGACAUGGGUGGUUCAGCAGCGGUGUUAGGCGCUGCAAAAGCCGUUGGUCAAAUUAAACCCUCUGGAGUAGAGCUUUGGUACGGAAGGAGAUUCAAGAUGAAACAGACAGAAUCACGGGGAAGUCUAAACAAAUAUCUCCAAUUCCAAUCCAUCUCAUCAUCUAUUCCCCCAACGUUGUAUCUUUAACUUUAAUCGACUUACCAGGAUUGACCAAAGUUGCAGUUGAGGGACAACUUGAAUCUAUAGUUGAAGACAUUGAAAAGAUGGUUCGAACUUACGUUGAGAAGGUUAGGCGUUUCGCCAUAUUGUGCCUCUUCGACUCCAGCUGGUGCCUACACAAAGAAGAAUAUGAAUUCAGAAAGUAUGUGUCCAGCAGGCUGGUCUUCGUGCAUAACUGAGGGCUUUUGUGGUGAGUGAUCCAUGCUGUGAUUAUUUCAGACAAAAAAUGAGUGAACGAUGAAGACUGCUUCUCAAGUUCUCAUUAUAUAGAAGAACACAACUGCAGCAGAAAAACUACUCAGAACGUGGGAUGGUGUUGUUCGAGUUCAAGGAACAUGGACAGAAAAACAUGCUUGCUGCAAGUAACCGCUCAGAACUGCCAAGACAGCGGUUAAAAUUAAGAGUUUACACGGCCCAGAUUUAAUCUAAG